Molecule: long non-coding RNA, 428 nt
Organism: Polypterus senegalus (gray bichir)
Lineage: Eukaryota; Metazoa; Chordata; Cladistia; Polypteriformes; Polypteridae
Exons: 4
Source: RefSeq, a predicted model, not a curated record
UAGUGAUGAAAACAAUGAGACUGCAAGUACAAGCAGCUGUAAUGAGGACCCUCUGCAGCAGAGCUGUUGAAACUGUGAAUUGAGUGGAACUAGUUCAGGUGGUUUGGGCAUUUACUGCAGCACAGAUGUUCUCAUUUACAAGUUUAAGCUGCAUUUGCCCAGUGCUGCCUACAGUAUGUAAAAGCCAUUGGAUGCCUGUCUAUUAUGCCUUUCCACAAAGACUUAUGAGACUCUGGAAAAUCAGCCCAAGUGCCCUCCAGUGUCCAUUCCACCAUCUGUACCAGACGCAGUACAUGAAGCUCACGAGAAGUUUCUGUAGGCCUCUCUGCCAUGCCAUCAAGCAAGGCAACAAAGAUGUUCCUGUAGCAGCCCACUUCAGCAGCCAUGGACACUGUGAGAAGGACUUUAAAGUCACAAUGCUUAUAGGC